Xenia sp. Carnegie-2017 is the source of this 408-nucleotide long non-coding RNA. RefSeq lists it as uncharacterized. The transcript has 2 exons. NCBI's taxonomy places the organism in Eukaryota, Metazoa, Cnidaria, Anthozoa, Malacalcyonacea, Xeniidae. The record is from RefSeq and is a predicted model, not a curated record.
ACGAAGAGGAUGCUGAUGGAGCGACGAAGAGGAUGCUGACGGAGAGACGGGAAGCAUGCUGAUGGAGAACAAGAUGAAAAACAAGAUGAGAUUUUUAAGAAAUCUUGGAUUUUGAGAGAGCAUAUAUACUCUGUUGAAUUCGGCGUAUUCUUACUAAGUCAGAGAGUUCCCUCGCUCUCUGACUUAGAAAACGAAUUUUGUGGUAAAGUAUUUCAAAGUAGGCUCCUGCCACCUAUUUUGGAAUAAUGUUGUACAAAUUUCUAUUAAGUAAUGAUUUUAGAAUAAUAAUGUUGUUUGAAAAGCAUUUAUGCCGUGAUGAAUAAAUAACAUCCAUCGGUAGUUUUGAAACGACUGUCAGCUUAAAAUAUGCAUAUGUAUUUAAAUUAAACAUGGUCACCAUGCCAGCAA